UGGUCCACACAGCAGGCAAGUGUGGUAACUGGCUUAGCAGCGGGGGCAGGUACGCCCCACCCAGAGCUGGGAGUAAGGUAUGCCCUCAGCGCUGGAAGGCUGGAGCAAAGAGCUGCUCAGCACAGCUCUCUUCAGGCGGUCCUCGGUAGUUCAAAGCCUAUUUCCGGAGAUCUGCACACCACAGAGGUCUCCCUUGUUGGGGAGCAGGGAAGACCAUUCAUUUAGGGAGGGGUCGAAACCUCAGAACUAAGGGCCUCACCCACUCUCUCACUCGUGCUGUCCUUUGUUCGGCUGGCCCAACGGUUUUUUUAAAUUUGAAUUUGAACGGCUGAGGGCAGAGCCUGCAGUUCCCCCCUAGCCCCCGCCCCUGUUGUCUUACACCCAAUAUUUAACUUUCUGUCCUCUGUCUGACCCCUGGAGCAUUCUGGGUUGUGGCCCUGGUAGAACCUUGCUUUGGAGCUGAACAGUCUCUGGCGCAUAAACUGGCUGUGCUAUUGAUCGGCUUGCAAGAUGGUAGGCAAGAAAGCUGGUGGCCCCCCAAGCUCCUUUCAGCUCCAGGGGUUUUCAUUUCAGUGACUCAGGGAGAGGUGGAGCUUGGCUUCAUGGUAGGUUACAGGCCUUUCCAAACCCCACCACAUGUGGGGUGAGGUGAGAAACAGCACAACGCCCACUCUGAGUGGGCACCAUGGAAUCUCUGAGCCUUGAAACGCUUGCUCCUUCUGGAAGGAGAGCUUCAGAGCAAAGUUACUUCCUCCCAGUCCAGCCAGUUCAGUCACAGACAACCUGAGGAGGCUUCCAGCCCUGAGUCACUUGUGCAGCUUCAGCUCCGCUUGAAGUAGAGAUCAAUGGGCACUUACUGGCUGACUCACACCUGGAGCAGCGAUCCAGGUUCUCAGCAAGGGAGAACUCCCCCGUCCCGCCUCAGUGGUUCAAGACUGAAUAUAGGAGGGUAAGACUCUCCUUCCAAAAAGAAAAGCAGCGUCUGUUUUUUGAGAGCUUACGAGAAAUAAACCAGACACUUCUAAGUGCUUUUGUG
Long non-coding RNA from Phyllostomus discolor (pale spear-nosed bat), 1036 nucleotides. RefSeq lists it as uncharacterized. The transcript has 2 exons. The record is from RefSeq and is a predicted model, not a curated record. Lineage: Eukaryota; Metazoa; Chordata; Mammalia; Chiroptera; Phyllostomidae.